RNAcentral lists this ribosomal RNA (734 nucleotides) under uncultured archaeon. RNAcentral's name for it is "bacterial SSU rRNA". It matches the Rfam family "Archaeal small subunit ribosomal RNA", at positions 741 to 1477 of the family's 1478-position model. The record is from RNAcentral.
GUAGUCCUGGCUGUAAACGCUGCCCACUUGGUGUUGCCCUUUCCUUGGGAAGGGGCAGUGCCGGAGCGAAGGUGUUAAGUGGGCUGCUUGGGGAGUAUGGUCGCAAGGCUGAAACUUAAAGGAAUUGGCGGGAGAGCACCGCAACGGGAGGAGCGUGCGGUUUAAUUGGAUUCAACGCCGGAAAACUCACCAGGGGAGACCAUGGUAUGAGUGUCAGCCUGAAGAGCUUACACGACCACAUGGAGAGGUGGUGCAUGGCCGUCGUCAGCUCGUACCGUAGAGCGUUCACUUAAGUGUGAUAACGAGCGAGACCCUUGCCCAUAUUUGCCACCUUCCUCGAGAGAGGAAGAGCACUAUAUGGGGACCGCUAGCGUUAAGCUAGAGGAAGGAGAGGUCAACGGCAGGUCAGUAUGCCCCGAAUCCCCUGGGCAACACGCGCGCUACAAAGGACGGAACAAUGGGUUGCAACUUCGAAAGGAGGAGCUAAUCCCGAAAUCCGUCCGUAGUUCAGACUGAGGGCUGUAAUUCGCCCUCACGAAGCUGGAUUCCGUAGUAAUCGCGGAUCAACAGUCCGCGGUGAAUAUGCCCCUGCUCUUUGCACACACCGCCUGUCAAGCCAUCCGAGUUGGUUUUGGAUGAGGGCCCACUUUUUGGUGGGUUCGAAUCCAAGAUCGAUGAGGAGGGCUAAGUCAUAACAAGGUAUCCGUAGGGGAACCUGCGGCUGGAUCACCUCC